UGAGGAAUAUUGGGCAAUGGGGGCAACCCUGACCCAGCCAUGUCGCGUGAGUGAAGAAGGUUUUCGGAUUGUAAAGCUCUUUCGGAUGUGAAGAUAAUGACGGUAGCAUCUAAAGAAGCCCCGGCAAACUUCGUGCCAGCAGCCGCGGUAAUACGAAGGGGGCAAGCGUUGUUCGGAAUUACUGGGCGUAAAGGGUGUGUAGGCGGUUAAGUAAGAUAGCGGUGAAAUCCCGGGGCUCAACCUCGGAAUUGCCGUUAUGACUAUUGAGCUAGAAUUAUGGAGAGGAUAGCGGAAUACCCAGUGUAGAGGUGAAAUUCGUAGAUAUUGGGUAGAACACCAGUGGCGAAGGC
This 350-nucleotide ribosomal RNA is filed under the name uncultured bacterium. Its description in RNAcentral is "bacterial SSU rRNA". It matches the Rfam family "Bacterial small subunit ribosomal RNA", at positions 355 to 722 of the family's 1533-position model. The record is from RNAcentral.